GGAGGGAUGGCCGAGUGGUUGAAGGCGCUGGUCUUGAAAACCUGAGUGGCCUCCGGGUCACCGUGGGUUCGAAUCCCACUCCCUCCG
Molecule: transfer RNA, 87 nt
Filed under: Anaerolineae bacterium
Lineage: Bacteria; Bacillati; Chloroflexota; Anaerolineae
Description: tRNA-Ser
Rfam family: tRNA
About the family: Transfer RNA (tRNA) molecules are approximately 80 nucleotides in length. Their secondary structure includes four short double-helical elements and three loops (D, anti-codon, and T loops).
Source: RNAcentral